This is a non-coding RNA of Oryza glaberrima (African rice), 207 nucleotides long. The record is from Rfam. Lineage: Eukaryota; Viridiplantae; Streptophyta; Magnoliopsida; Poales; Poaceae.
AAAAAGGCAAACCCUGGGUUUUCUUGUCCAACUUUGACUGGCCGUCUUAUAUGAAAUUUUUUUAUAAUUCAUAUUUUCAUUGUUAUUAGAUGAUAAAACAUGAUUAAUAUUUUAUACGUGACUUGUCUUUUUAAUUUUUUUUCUUAAUUUUUUCAAAUAAGACGGAUGGUCAAACGUUGGGCACGGAAAUAAAGGUUUGUCUUUUUU